AUAUUGAACAAUGGGCGAAAGCCUGAUCCAGCCAUGCCGCGUGUGUGAAGAAGUUCUUCGGAUUGUAAAGCACUUUAAGUUGGGAGGACGUGGUUGAAUCUAAUACCUUCAAUCUUUGACGUUACCACCAGAAUAAGCACCGUCUAAUUCUGUGCAAGCAGCCGCGGUAAUACAGAGGGAGCAAGCGUUAAUCGGAAUUACUGGGCGUAAAGCGCGCGUAGGUGGUUCAGUAAGAUGGAAGUGAAAUCACCGGGCUUAACCUGGGAACUGCUUUCAUAAAUGCUGAGCUAGAGUACGGUAGAGGGUAGUGGAAUUUCCUGUGUAGCGGUGAAAUGCGUAGAUAUAGGAAGGAACACCAGUGGCGAAGGCGACUACCUGGACUGAUACUGACACUGAGGUGCGAAAGCGUGGGGAGCAAACAGG
RNAcentral lists this ribosomal RNA (423 nucleotides) under uncultured bacterium. Its description in RNAcentral is "partial 16S ribosomal RNA". It matches the Rfam family "Bacterial small subunit ribosomal RNA", at positions 361 to 776 of the family's 1533-position model. The record is from RNAcentral.